CCUACGGGUGGCUGCAGUGGGGAAUAUUGCACAAUGGGGGAAACCCUGAUGCAGCGACGCCGCGUGAGUGAAGAAGGAUUUCGGUAUGUAAAGCUCUAUCAGCAGGGAAGAAGCAGGACGGUACCUGACUAAGAAGCCCCGGCUAACUACGUGCCAGCAGCCGCGGUAAUACGUAGGGGGCAAGCGUUAUCCGGAUUUACUGGGUGUAAAGGGAGCGUAGACGGUAUGGCAAGUCUGAAGUGAAAGCCCCGGGCUUAACCCGGGGACUGCUUUUGAAACUGUUAGACUAGAGUGCUGGAGAGGUAAGUGGAAUUCCGGGUGUAGCGGUGAAAUGCGUAGAUAUUAGGAGGAACACCAGUGGCGAAGGCGGCCUACUGGACAGUAACUGACGUUGAGGUUCGAAAGCGUGGGGAGCAAACAGGAUUAGAUACCCUAGUAGUC
Molecule: ribosomal RNA, 441 nt
Filed under: uncultured bacterium
Lineage: Bacteria
Description: partial 16S ribosomal RNA
Rfam family: Bacterial small subunit ribosomal RNA
Source: RNAcentral